This 1067-nucleotide long non-coding RNA is filed under the name Zea mays. RNAcentral describes it as "long non-coding RNA (ZMAY_LNC001958)". The record is from RNAcentral. Lineage: Eukaryota; Viridiplantae; Streptophyta; Magnoliopsida; Poales; Poaceae.
CCAAUUCUUUGUCACAGUGUCUGUAGAACAUGUACACUGCAACACCAUAUUGUUCGGUAAAGUCGUAGGAUAGAUGAGAUAGAAGGAAUGAUAGUAUCCUAUCCUAGUAAGCAGAUAAACUGCAGCAUAUCCCCGUUCUGGAUUAAACUUAGGUCCAUGGUUUUACUUCGACUCAAUAACAAUUCAAUUCUACGCGAAUUGCGGUUUGUGUUCGACGGGAUCGGGCUGGAGCCUGUGAUUCGGAUUCCCGACGCGGCGACGCGAGAGUACAUUUGUUGGCUACACCGAUCGGUGACCAUAGAUGAAGAGUAGGAUUUCGUAGCCUACUAGCCUGACUAACCCUAGUUCACUCGAGUGAGCAGAGACGUACCGGAACGUCCUCGCCGUAGCCGUCUGUCGGUCUGUGCACCCCCGCUCCCUGCCCCUGUGAAGCCUGCUUCACACCCGGCUAUCACCUACCACCGACGUCACCGGAAUCAACCUUUAUGACACCAUGAAAGUACAGAUCAAGAAUGGGAAAUAAAAGAUUUCAGAAGAUGUUGUACCUUUCACUGAAGCGAGGCUUCUUCGAGGCAGCUACGGUUGCUUUAGCUUUACACCGACGACACCGACGACGCCGACCAACAAAUCCGCCAAGCUCCGAGAGUGAUACGUCCGUAGACAAGCUACAUCGUCUGAGCCUUUUCCAUCUUCACCGACCUUCAGAUCCGGCCGGAGGUGUCCUCCAGGAAAGCGCCUGCUGCGGUCUCCUCCACCGCCAGCAACCCACCGGCGGAACCCUAGAUCCACAGCGACACUGGAUCUGGCGACGGCUACCGGCUCCGACACCGAUGCCCUCGGCACUUUCGUCGUCGCGGUCACGCACAGGGACUUCGCUGCCAAGGAAGAGGGGUGAGCCGGAAGGAGCGAGAAGAGGUGGCCAGCGUCUGCUAGAAGUCUCCAGAGGCGGAGGAAGCGAGGGAGCGAGAGUCGUAUUUCGCAUGUUACCGAGACCGUGAUUCGUGAUGAACAUAGGCCAUUGAUUCACGAUCGAGCGGCUUCAAGAAUUUGAACCGACGUGGAUAGCG